RNA transcript from Prunus persica (peach), 1613 nucleotides. It is a transcript of the gene named probable calcium-binding protein CML18, with no coding region annotated. The record is from RefSeq and is a predicted model, not a curated record. The transcript has 2 exons. NCBI's taxonomy places the organism in Eukaryota, Viridiplantae, Streptophyta, Magnoliopsida, Rosales, Rosaceae.
CGUCUUUCACCUCAAUUUCUCGCGUUAGAUCCCCAUCAAUCCAACGCUCACAAUUCUCAAGAAAAAUAAAAAGGAAUUAAUAAUAAUUUAAUCACGUGAUCGAAACUCAAAUUCCUACCACCUUGACCUUAUUAUUUGAUCACCAACAAACAUCAUCAUCAUCAUCUUUGAGAUUUCAACGUUGUGUUAUGCGUGUGAUUGUGAUCGCCAUUCAAAUAUCGGAUCCGAUAUUUGGGUCAAGACUGAAGGGCAAUUGAUUCGGAGGAUCCACCGAAAGAGGAGGAAUUAAGUAGGACAUGAAAGGAGAUGUUGGAUUGGAUCUUUGAAGCUUCCACCCUCCCUCCUCAGACUCUCUGAUCUCAUCCCACAUUCUCAUUAAACACGGAUCCAAUUUUCACGCAAAUCACCAUGUUUCUACACUGAAUUCAAUGAAGCUCAGCUUAGCUCAGAUCAUCGUCGUCUUCUUCAAUUUCGAUCCGAACCCACAACUUGAAUUCUCAACUGACUAACUACAAAUCAUCAAGAACAGAGAAGUACAAUUUGAUCUCAUUCCCAUUUGCUUGUAUGAAAUUUUCCUGUCCCUUAUUCUUUUUGGGCAUUGUUUUCUAAUGUGGUACGUGGACACUCCUCAUAGGUCAAAAUAGAAACAAAAGGAUCAUAACCAUCACACAUAUUCAUCUUUGAGUCGGAGAAUAAAGUUAGAGAAACUUUUUUAGCUUUUGGUCGUCCUGAUGAGCAACAAGCAGCCAGUGAAGCUAGACGACGAGCAAAUCGCGGACCUGCGUGAAAUAUUCCGGUCGUUUGAUCGAAACAACGACGGAAGCCUAACACAGCUGGAGCUGGGGUCUCUUCUGCGCUCACUGGGGCUGAAACCAGGGCCUGAUCAGCUGGAUACCUUGAUCCAGAAGGCAGACACCAACAGCAAUGGCCUUGUGGAGUUUUCGGAGUUCGUAGCCCUCGUAGCCCCCGAGCUUGUGUCGGCCAAGUCUCCUUACACGGAGGACCAGCUGAGGCAGCUGUUUCGAAUGUUUGACCGGGACGGCAACGGAUUCAUCACAGCUGCUGAGCUGGCUCACUCCAUGGCUAAACUCGGACACGCUCUUACGGCUGAGGAGUUGACUGGGAUGAUCAGGGAGGCUGAUACUGAUGGGGAUGGCAGGAUCGAUUUCCAGGAGUUUGCUCAUGCCAUUACUUCUGCUGCUUUUGAUAAUUCUUGGUCUUAGACAAUUCCCAGCUAGUUAAUUCAUUUCGGAAAUUCCAUCCAUCGGUUUUCUUUGUUUUCAGGAGCAUGCUAGGCAAUGUUGAUGAUGAUUUAAUUUUGAAGGGUUCACUUUUGAAUGGAAGGAUGGUGAAGAACUCAUGAUGGGAAAUAAUCUUUAUUCACAAGAGACCAAUGAUGAAGCAUCUUAUCUUUUUGGUCUCCAAAUUAAUGUUGUGAUGUGAUUCAUGGAAUACUUGAUGUGAUACAAAUUCCACACGUUAUGUAAAAUGUCUCGUGUGACUUGAAACCAAAGAUAGAAACAACUGAUUCCUUUGCACACCAUUCCAAUGUAAGCAAAAGAACUCCAAUGCUUAAGUUACACGAAAAGAAAUAACAACUCCUUUGCACACCA